AGUCGAGCGAGAAGCCACCUUCGGGUGGUGGGAAGCGGCGGACGGGUGAGUAAGGCGUGGGAAUAUGCCCUUUGGUACGGAAUAGCCCUUGGAAACGAGGCGUAAUACCGUAUGUGCCCUACGGGGGAAAGAUUUAUCGCCAAAGGAUUAGCCCACGUUGGAUUAGCUAGUUGGUGAGGUAAAGGCUCACCAAGGCAACGAUCUAUAGCUGGUUUGAGAGGAUGAUCAGCCACACUGGGACUGAGACACGGCCCAGACUCCUACGGGAGGCAGCAUUGGGGAAUAUUAGACAAUGGGCGCAAGCCUGAUCUAGCCAUGCCGCGUGAGUGAAGAAGGCCCUAGGGUUGUAAAGCUCUUUCAGAUGUGAGGAUGAUGACAGUAACAUCAGAAGAAGCCCCGGCUAACUUCGUGCCAUCAGCCGCGGUAAUACGAAGGGGGCUAGCGUUGUUCGGAAUUACUGGGCGUAAAGGGCGCGUAGGCGGACUGGUCAGUUUGGGGUGAAAGCCCGGGGCUCAACCUCGGAACU
RNAcentral lists this ribosomal RNA (526 nucleotides) under uncultured bacterium. Its description in RNAcentral is "bacterial SSU rRNA". It matches the Rfam family "Bacterial small subunit ribosomal RNA", at positions 60 to 622 of the family's 1533-position model. The record is from RNAcentral.